Molecule: long non-coding RNA, 4348 nt
Organism: Oncorhynchus tshawytscha (Chinook salmon)
Lineage: Eukaryota; Metazoa; Chordata; Actinopteri; Salmoniformes; Salmonidae
Source: Ensembl
ACAGUCGCUACUUCAAAAACCAUAGAAUCUCCCACAGCAACCACAGCUGCUCUCACAACAACCACAGCUGCUCCCACAACAAACACAGCGGAUCCCACAACAACCACAGCUACUCCCACAACAACCACAACUGCUCCAACAACAACCACAGAAUCUACCACAACAACCACAGUCGCAACUUCAAAAACCAUAGAAUCUCCCACAGCAACCACAGCUGCUCUCACAACAACCACAGCUGCACCCACAACAAUCACAGCUGAUCCCACAACAACCACAGCUACUCCCACAACAAACACAGUGGAUCCCACAACAACCACAGCUGCUCCCACAACAAACACAGCUGCUCCCACAACAACCACAGCUGCUCCCACAACAAUUACAGCUGAUCCCACAACAACCACAGCUACUCCCACAACAAACACAGCGGAUCAAACAACAACCACAGCUACUCCCACAACAACCACAACUGCUCCAACAACAACCACAGAAUCUACCACAACAACCACAGUCGCUACUUCAAAAACCAUAGAUUCUCCCACAGCAACCACAGCUGCUCUCAGAACAACCACAGCUGCUCCCACAACAAACACAGCGGAUCCAACAACAACCACAGCUACUCCCACAACAACCACAACUGCUCCAACAACAACCACAGAAUCUACCACAACAACCAGAGUCGCUACUUCAAAAACCAUAGAAUCUCCCACAGCAACCACAGCUGCACUCACAACAACCACCACUGCUCCCAUAUCAACAACAGCUGCUCUCCCAACAACCACAGCUGCUCCCACAACAAAAACAGCGGAUCGCACAACAACCACAGCUACUCCCACAACAACCACAGCUGCUCCCACAACAACCACAGCUGCUCCGACAACAACCACAGCUGCUCCCACAACAACCACAGCUGCUCCCACAACAAACACAGCUGCUCCCACAACAACCACAGCUGCUCCCACAACAACCACAGCUGAUCCCAUAUCAACAACAGCUGCUCUCCCAACAACCACAGCCGCUCCCACAACAAACACAGCGGAUCCCACAACAACCACAGCUACUCCAACAACAACCACAGCUGCUCUAACAACAACCACAGAAUCUACCACAACAACCACAGUCGCCACUUCAAAAAUCACAGAAUCUCCCACAGCAACCAGAGCUGCUCUCACAACAACCACAGUUGCUCCCACAACAACCACAGCUGCUCCCACAACAACCACAGCUGAUCCCACAACAACCACAGCUGCUCUCACAACAACCACAGCUGCUCCCACAACAACCACAGCUGCUCCCACAACAACAACAGCUGCUCCAACAACAACCACAGCUAAUCCCACAACAACGACAGCUACUUACACAACAUUCUCAGGUGUUCCCACAACAACCACAGUUGCUCCCACAACAACCACAGCUGCUCCCACAACAACCACCGCUGCUCCCACAACAACCACAGCUGUUCCCACACAAACCACAGCUGCUACGACAACAACUCCAGAUGUUCCAAAAACAACCACAUCUGCUCCAACAACAACCACAGCUUCUCCCACAACCACCAUACAAGCUCCAACGACAACUACAAUUGGGGCUACAACAACCACAGAUGCUCCCACAUCAACGACACCAUCUACAACAACAACCACAACUGCUCGCACAACAACCACAGCAGCUCCAAAGACAACUACAACUGAGGCUACAACAACCACAGAUACUCCAAUGACAACCACAGCUACUCCCACAACAACCACAGCUGCUCCAUCAACAACCACAGCUAAUCCCACAACAACAACAGCUAUUUACACAACAUCCUCAGGUGUUCCCACAUUAACCACACCUGCUUCAACAGCAAACACACAAACAAACACAGCUGCUCCAGCAACAACAACAUAUGCUCCCACAUCAACCACUUCUGCUCCCACAACAACCACAGCUGCUCCAGCAACAACAACAUAUGCUCCCACAACAACCACUUAUGCUCCCACAACAAGCACAGCUGCUCCAGCAACAACCACAGCCUCUCAAGCAACAACAACAUAUGCUGCCACAACAAGCACUUCUGCUCCAGCAACAACCACAGCUGCUCCCAAAACCACCACAGCUGCUGCCACAACAACCACAGCUGCUCCAAGAACAACAACAUCUGCUCUGACCACAGUUACAACAGGUUAUUCAACCACUACCACAACACCGGCCCCUCCACCACCAGAGGUGAAGUUGGAGUUCAAAUUGGAGCAAAACUUCACAGCAGAUUUGAAUAAUGUUUCUUCACCAGAGUUCAAAGAAUUAGCAAAUACUGUGUCUACAGCGCUGGAAAAUGUGUACAAAAGUAAAUAUGGAUCCAGUUUCAUUCGCAUAGAAGUUAUAGGUUUCAGUCAAGGUUCAAUUGUGGUAAUCACUAAGCUGGUAUUUAACGAUACCAGCGUAGUCCCUGCGAACAGUGAUGUGGCUGCCACGAUGACAGAGGCAGUUUCAAGCAACAGCUCUAAUUUCUCUCUCCCAGUGAACACAGCCUCCAUUGUGGCAACAAAGGUGAUUGUACCAACACCACCCCCAGCAGCCACAACUCCAACUUCAGCUGUGGAUACAACAACCACAGCUGCUCCUACAUCAACCACAGCAGUUCCACAAACAACAACAGCUACUCUCACAACAACCACAGCUGCUCCCACAACAACCACAGCUGUUCCAACAACAUCGCCACCUGCUCAGACAAAAACCCCAGAUGUUCCAACAACAACUACAGCUGCUCCCACAACCACCCCUGCUGCUCCCACAACAACCACAGAAUCUCCCACAACAUCCACAGUUGCUGCCACAACAACCACAGCUGUUCCCACAACAACGCCACCUGCUCUGACAAAAACUCCAGAUGUUCCAACAACAACCACAGCUGCUCAAACGACAAUCACAGCUGCUCCCAUAUCAACGACAGCUGCUCUCCCAACAACCGCAGCCUCACCCACAACAAACACAGCGGCUCCAACAAAAUCCCCAGCUGCUCCCACAACAACCAUAGCUGCUCCAACAACAACCACAGAAUCUCCCACAACAACCACAGUCGCUACUUCAAAAACCCCAGCUGCUCCAACAACAACCUCAGCUGCUCCCACAACAAUCACAGAAUCUCCCACAACAACCACAGCUGCUCCCACAACAACCACAGCUGCUCUCACAACAACCACAGCUGCUCCCACAACAACCACAGCUACUCCAACAACAACCACAGCCUAUCCCACAACAACCACAGCUGCUCCCACAACAACCACAGCUGCUCCUACAGCAACCACAGCUGCUCCAACAAAAACCACAUCAUCUACCACAAAAACCACAGAUGCACCCACAACAACAACAGCAUAUCCAACAACAACCACAACUAUUCCCACAACAACCACAGCUGCACCCACAACAACCACAGGUGCACCCACAACAACCAAAGGUGCACCCACAACAACCACAGCCAUCCCCACAACCCCAUAGCUUCUCCCACAGCAACCAUAGAAGCUCCAACGACAACUACAAUUGGGGCAACAACAACCACAGAUACUUCAAAAACAACCACAGCUGUUCCCACAACAACCACGGCUACUCCGACAACAACCCCAGAUGUACCAACCACAACCACAACUCUUCCAACAACAACCACAACUGCUCCAACAACAAACACAGAUACAUUCAAAACAACCACAGCUGCUCCCACAACAACCACAGCUGCUCUCACUACAACCGCAGCUAUUCCCACAACAACCACAGCUGCUCCAACAACAACCAGAGAUUUUCCCACAACAACCACAGCUGCUCCCACAACAACCACAGCUGCUUCCACAACAACACCAGCUGCUCCAACAACAACCUCAGCUGCUCCCACAACAACCACAGCUGCUCCAACAACAACCACAGCUGUUCCCACAACAACCAUAGCUGCUACAACAACCACAGAUACUCCAACAACAACCACUACUGCUCCCACAUCAACCACAGCUGCUCCCACAACAACCACAGAAUCUCCCACAACAACCACAGCUGCUCCCACAACAACCACAGCUGCUCCCACAACAACCACAGUUGAUCCCACAACAACCACAGCUGUUCCCACAACAACCACAGAAUCUCCCACAACAACCACAGUCGCUACUUCAAAAACCACAGCUGCUCCAACAACAACCAGAGCUGUUCCCACAACAACCACAGCUGUUCCCACAACAACCACAGCUGCUCCCACAACAACCACAGCUGCUCCCACAACAACCACAGCAGCUCCAACAACAACCACAGCUGUUCCCACAACAACCACAGCUGUUCCCACAACAACCACAGCUGUUCCCACAACAACCACAGCUGCUCCCACAACAAC